CAAUAGCGUAUAUUAAAGUUGUUGCAGUUAAAAAGCUCGUAGUUGGAUUUCGGGGCAGCCUGGCUGGUCCGCCGCAAGGCGAGUACUGGUCAGCCGCCCUUCCUCUCGAAAGCCCCGACUGCUCUUUAUUGCAGUGGUCGGGUAGUUCGGGACGUUUACUUUGAAAAAAUUAGAGUGUUCCAGGCAGGCCUACGCCUGAAUACAUUAGCAUGGAAUAAUGGAAGAGGACCUCGGUCCUAUUUUGUUGGUUUCCAGGACCGAAGUAAUGAUUAAGAGGGACAGUUGGGGGCAUUCGUAUUUAAUUGUCAGAGGUGAAAUUCUCGGAUUUAUGAAAGACGAACAACUGCGAAAGCAUUUGCCAAGGAUGUUUUCAUUAA
This 377-nucleotide ribosomal RNA is filed under the name uncultured eukaryote. RNAcentral describes it as "partial 18S ribosomal RNA". It matches the Rfam family "Eukaryotic small subunit ribosomal RNA", at positions 592 to 976 of the family's 1831-position model. The record is from RNAcentral.